Non-coding RNA from Aegilops tauschii subsp. strangulata, 2725 nucleotides. The record is from RefSeq and is a predicted model, not a curated record. NCBI's taxonomy places the organism in Eukaryota, Viridiplantae, Streptophyta, Magnoliopsida, Poales, Poaceae.
UUAUACUGAACCGGCAUGUCGCCAUUCUUCAGAGGUGCUGUUGCAGAAGAUUCAGAAGGUUCAGGGCCGGGCACACUCGCCAUGUUCCUCAACCAGGUCCUCGUGCGCGCUGUCCCCGUCACCUCAUCCUCCGCCCCGUCGCCGCCGUUCCUCCUCCGCCAGGUCUCCUUCUCCGCCGCAGUUCCAUCCCUCGACCUCGACAUCCUCUGCUGCAGGCUGUCCCGCCGCCACCGUCUCGCGUGCCUCCCCCAGUCCCCAGCCGACGCCCUCGUGGUCUACCAGAGAUGCCAGUCCCACGCGGCCGCCGAGGUGGCCUCCGAGAUCGCGGCUGCCUUCACGGGCGCCUCGGUUGGCGAGGAGGAGGAGGUGGUCUGUUCAGGCUCGCUGGUUGCAAAAGCGGUUGAGUGUGGACUUCGAUGUCUGAUGCUUGAGCGUGGGUGGAGCUUUGUCGGUGAGAGCAUAUACGUCCAGUCGACGUUUGCUGUGAUCGAGGAGAGAACUGAUCUGUGCGCGUUGAAUGUGGAAGUCAGAUCUGGACUAAAUGAUGAUUAUGAGUUUGUUGUCUCACCUGAUGCAUUUCGGUUCACUGCACUUAAGAUCUCAGAUGUUGCUAGUUCCAGUGUGAUAGAAACGUUUCAACAGAUUAAGGAAGUAAGUUUGGAUGGUUGUAACCUCCAGACAGCUUGUGCAAUUCUUCCAACAUUACAGGAAGGCCAUGUGAUUGGUUUUAGCGAAUUACCUCCUUCAGGGCAGAUCUUGGACAGCUUUACAGAGCUUUGCUCAGUUAAGCAUGGUGUGGAGACGAACUACAGUUAUCAUGCAGCAGUCAAACUGACACGCGGAGCUUCCUGUGAGAAGCAAUGGUUGCCUUCUCCAUUUGUCCUCCAAGGUCCGGGGCUUCAGCCUUCCCCAAAAUCUGUUAGAGCAUCAAAGGCAAUGUCUUCCAUGCGGUCCUUUAUAGAAUCGUUGAAAGCUUGGAAUUGCUUUGGUCAGAGUCAACUAGUAAUUAAGGAACAAUUAGUAGUUAACUGCACGGCGACUCUGCCUACUUGGGACAAAGCCACAAGUAAACUGGCAAUGCACACUGCAAGAACCGAAAAUUCAGAGGAUCUUCGUUUAGUUCAUCCAAGUUCUGUGACCAAAGACCAAUCAUUGGCUUUAGACUUCCGGACCCCAAAACCAGCUGUCUUUUCCUCUUCGGCUGCCAAAUUCUGCAAUACCAAAGUUGAGAUAGCUCAGUCUCUGGAUGAUGCUGGCACUGGCGAUGACACACAUUCCAUCAAGCAUGGUUGUCAAUCACAGUCUGUUGUCUUAACCAGUUCAUUCAAAUCGCAAAUAACAUUAUUGAAGCCUUCAUUCGGCAGAAGUAAACGAGCAGAUAAAAACAAAACGUGGUUUUCUUCUGAACAAUCUGAUGCUGAUAGUUCAAACAGAUCGAGUGAAACUAGCCUACCAAAAUCAUCACUUGGAAAUUUCCCUAAAGCAAGCCAUGCUAAUCCUGUUGAUUCAUCAAGUGCAAGUCUUCUGAAGCAAGUCAUUCAGACUUCUGGAAAUCCUAAAAGGAAGCAUGCAGAGAUUCUAGAAAACAAUGGUGAAGGAGGAACUGUAAAAGUGCACCAAAAGGAUUGUUCUGAAAAGAGGAACUUGGAUGCGAGGAAGAGUAAAGAUUAUGCGCCUAAUGUCCCGCAAGACAUAUCAUCAGUGCUAGAUAUUCAGAAGGAUGUGCUUAGAACAAAAGUAAAACCGACAAAAUCAAAGUCUAUGGUUGGCAAGAAUGAGAUAACUGCUGCAACAAAAUCGAAAAGAAAGCCAGAAGUUGUCAAAGACGAGCUAACCAAAACGUUUGGCAUUUUUUUUUCAGGCAAUAGAUCAUCAAAAGGAUGUUACUAAAAAGGUGACGAAGGCAAAGUCAGUAAUUGUUAAGGAUGAGUUAACUUCAACAACAAAGACAAAAACAAAGCCAGAUGUUGACAAGGACGAGUUAACUGCAAAGGUGAUAGAUCAUCAUAAGCGAGGUGAGUUGCGUCUGCUUACAGUUGCUGAUCUGAAGUGCUUUCUCAGUGCAAAAAAGGCAAAAGUUGGAGGUUCAAAGGAAGUGCUUAUCCAAAGAGCAUCUGAACUCCUUUCUUGACAUAGGACAGUACAACUUAUGGGAGCUACACGCUACACAUAGUCGCCUGCACCAACCAUGGAAACCGGGUUUCGCCCUACAUUCUCGCUGGUGCCACAACCGACCAUGGCUAGUAAAUCACAGAUAAUAUCUGAAUGACAAUAAGACAAUUGUUGCUCCUCUAGGAAUGAGGUAUGAUUGCAAUUAGCCACCGAUCCAAUUCAAGUCAUGAAUUUGGCAACCAGGAAACUGUAUGAAGAGCACUCGCGUGCUGCAAGGAGCCUCACGCGCGUCAGGAAGCCCAUCAUCAUGUCUCAUCUCACCAUAUACUCCGGCACACAAUCUCAACUUCGUACACACAGAGUACUCCCGCACUGAUCUCAUGCCUGCAAUGUCCAACAGUUUUGAUACGCACUAUCUUGAGAAAUUAGUGUUGGAUAAGUGCCCCCAACAACCAUAUAUACUAGUGUAGUGUGUGUGUGUGUGUGUGUGUGUAUGUGAUCAUGGUGUUCCCGUUCUGAAUCUUAAGAUUGAUAUUGCUACAUCAGAACGUGUUAUAAAUGUAAGAAUAGGAGGCAUCGGGAUAAAAGCUUGAUCAAAUCACUUCCAUACUCC